Molecule: long non-coding RNA, 838 nt
Organism: Salvelinus sp. IW2-2015
Lineage: Eukaryota; Metazoa; Chordata; Actinopteri; Salmoniformes; Salmonidae
Source: RefSeq, a predicted model, not a curated record
AAACACUCAAAUAAUCACCUGACCAGGCAGUCCAGAAACCCCUCUCUGGAGAGACCAUCACUCCUCUUCCUGGUCCAGUCCAGUGUGAAGAUAACCCCUCAGGUGAUACUGGAGAGGUGUUGUCAUGGAAAUAUUCAGUCAAUAAUAUUUCUCAAAUACCGGAGCCUUUACCUGAACAUGGUGACGACGUCAAGUCUGUGGGACCCGCACCCUCUCAACCCUCUACCUUGGGUCUGAAUGGUGACAGAAACAUGCCGGUGGUCCGGGGACUGGGCUCAGCUGACCCGGAAGAGGUGAAGAGGCUGAAGGACAUCACCUUCGUCAUCUGUAAUCGAUAGCUGCUUCUAUGAUUAGAGUAUCUAACAAAUUGCAUUUUUUUACCACCUGAUGGGACUCAAGGCCUUUAACCUAUUUAAUCCCAUUGGUCACAAUAGUGACCGUAAAAAACGUUUUCAGUUAUAAGGCUCUAAAACUUUUACUGAAUGAUGUAUCAAUGCAUUUCCAGCAAAUAUUGGAAUAAUAAAGGGUCUCAAUGAAAGAUGUGCAGUGUCACAUGUUUAGUGUAAAUUGUCACAUGACCAGAGCUGUUUAAUUCCUGGUAGCACCAUGAGAAGAGGAUGGCUGCAUCAAAGCUCCCAAACAAAAGUUUCACUUUGAGUCAAGAUCUGGAUAUGUUGGAUCUAGGUGACUGCCCAGACAAGGCAUGCAACAUUGCAGUUAUCCCUCAAAAUGAGAAAGAUGCUGUCCUGAGUGAUUGUGAUAGCGAUGGGUCAGAUAUGGACUACGGACAGGCCAUUUGCCAGCCAGGCUGUUGAAUGCAUAUGCUGAACCUAUGCAA